GCCUCCUGUCCAUUACUCGCUCCUAAUUUGCAGCCCAUUCAUCUUCUUGUCCUCCCUAUGAAACCAAUCAAAAUCUUUUGUUUGUCUCCAUCAUCGUCCUCUUUGCAGUUGCAUUCAAGCUGUACGAUCUGAGGGGGACAGGCUACAUCGAGAAAGAAGAGGUAAAUACUUAAAUCAUUUUCUCAUCCAACCUAGUACAUGGUGCCCUUUAUUGUAACUAGGGGUGGACGCGGUCCGGGCCGGUCCGGUCCCUGACCGAGCCCUGCUUUGGACCGGCCGCGGCCGGUCCGGUCCGGACCGGACCGAAGUGGCUGGCGGUUCAUAUUUUCAGGACCGGACCGGCUGCAGCAAAGCUCGGUCAAGACCGAGAGGACCGACUGGACCGACCGAAUUUGUAUCCUGGGAGUGCGCUGGGAGGAUUUUUGGCUCUGUUUAGCCACUGUUUAGUCAUCCUUUUAUAUUUUGUAAAGCAAAUGGACCAAGAAUACAGCAUAUAUGAGACUAAUUUUGAACAUUUAGAAUGCUUGUUUCAAAAGAGGAUGGAAUCGACAAUAAAUAAGCAAGUUAUGCUAUAGAUUUACCAUGACAAGCUGAAGAAUGGAUGAAAGAUGAUGUAAGAAAAUUUUGGAAUUCAGUACUAACUGCUAACAAUGGUGUAUUCAACACUCAAUAGAUCAGUACGAACUGCUAACAAUUCAGUACUAAUUGUUGAAAAUUUUGGCACUGAAUACCUCGGUCAGAGAUGGGAUAAUGCAGAGGAGAGGACAGAGGAGAUCGAACAGGUGCAGGGGAGACGGCGUGCAGGUGCAGGCACAUCCUCCCCCUCCUCCAGCUUCGUGGUCAUCUCUUAUCGACAGCAGCGAGCCGGCGAGGAGGUGGUCGACGGCGGACAGGUGGAGACGGCGGCGGUCGACCCUCAACUCGACGGCAGGCAGCUGCACGCGCUGCGCUCCCUCCUCUUCUCCUCUUUCCCUCCAGUACUGCGGCUUCGUGGUCUACGGCGAGGUGGUUGACGACGGCAGCACCAGGAGGUGGUCGACGACGGAAGCCGGCGGAGGCGGCGCUCGACCGCUCGGGGUCGGGGGAGG
Molecule: long non-coding RNA, 1088 nt
Filed under: Triticum aestivum (bread wheat)
Lineage: Eukaryota; Viridiplantae; Streptophyta; Magnoliopsida; Poales; Poaceae
Description: long non-coding RNA (TAES_LNC009227)
Source: RNAcentral